CUGUGUUCCAAUAAAACUUUAUUCACAAAAGCAAGUGGUGGGCCAGGUUUGACCUAUGGAUCAUAGUUUGCUGACCCCUGCACUAUGAUGUUCACCCGAGAUCCUGGUGCCCCAACUCUUGGCAGUUUUCAUAGAGUUUUCUCUGUACCAUUUCUUCCUGAAGCGCUGGGAGGUCUUCAUGCAAAAAGGCUUGAUAUGGCUUGUUUGGGUUUUUCAAAUCCUCUGAUAUGUAGAUUUGCUUUUAGUUCCCACUCUCAACCACUUGUUAUUUCGGUCAUGAAAUGUCAUUUUUCUUUUCUCCUUACAUCCUACAGAGCCGUUUUCAUAGCGCAUUUGACAAACUAAUGGCGAAGGCGUUGUGACUGUCAUUUGACUGUGUGCAGUCGUCAGCUGCUGGGGACUGUGCUUUGAAGUGUGUGGGUGGCUUCAAACACUUGGGGGCAAGCAGCCCUACAGUUCUGCACCGAUGAGUGGAGGAAAUAACCAGAAAAGAAAGAAGAGGCUGUUUAUUGCUGCUUUAUAAUGCUAAAGAAUUUUUUAAAAAGAAAUGCCUACAUUCAAUAUUAUCAAGAAAAAGAAGAAACAAGUCCGACCUAUCCUGGGCCUGGAAACCGUGCUAGCAGCAGCUCUUGGCUUUAUCAAAGAACAUUUAUUAUGUGCCUUCCUGUAUGUGAUGCUCUGCUAGGCACUAUGCAGAAAAAACUAAACCAAAGUGCUUAUCUUGGGCUCCGUCUCCCCCUCCAAUUGGCUGAUUAUUGGGCGAGCCAGCACUGGCACAGAUGCACAAAUGGAGUACAUAUGGCGCAUACAACACAGACCUGAAUGACAGGUGUUGGGAGCCAAUAUUCACAGUCUUCUUGCCUCAAUUGAAGAUAGAAAAGUCAAAUUGGCAGCUUGAAGUAUCCUCAGUAUUUAUGGACAACACAAUUCUCCGACAGAAAUGCCUCUCCUUAACCCUGUUUCCUGGUGAAGACGAUACUCCAUGCAGAAGUACAGGGUCUCCUUUUUCUAAAGAAGGAGCCAGCUUCCCUGCACCCCAUCCUAGUCCUGCUGAAGGCCGCUCGGCUUCCCAUCUCAAAGCCCCCCUCUCUCCUAGACGACAGAAGCUGGAGAGAGAGAUUAGAGAUUCUAGGACACCAGGAUUAGAAACUUGGGUGUCUUCUUCCUUUUCACAUGUCAGACCAUAA
This 1187-nucleotide long non-coding RNA is filed under the name Felis catus (domestic cat). Its description in RNAcentral is "lncRNA (ENSFCAG00000045630.2)". The record is from RNAcentral. Lineage: Eukaryota; Metazoa; Chordata; Mammalia; Carnivora; Felidae.